This 44-nucleotide ribosomal RNA is filed under the name Tulasnella violea. RNAcentral's name for it is "partial 18S ribosomal RNA". It matches the Rfam family "Eukaryotic small subunit ribosomal RNA", at positions 1788 to 1831 of the family's 1831-position model. RNAcentral also lists the same sequence under 16 other names. The record is from RNAcentral. Lineage: Eukaryota; Fungi; Basidiomycota; Agaricomycetes; Cantharellales; Tulasnellaceae.
GUCGUAACAAGGUUUCCGUAGGUGAACCUGCGGAAGGAUCAUAG